RNAcentral lists this long non-coding RNA (21462 nucleotides) under Musa acuminata (dwarf banana). RNAcentral describes it as "long non-coding RNA (MACU_LNC008353)". Lineage: Eukaryota; Viridiplantae; Streptophyta; Magnoliopsida; Zingiberales; Musaceae. The record is from RNAcentral.
AUAAAUUUAGAGGACUAAAAUUUUCUUUUAAAGGGGGGAGAGUGUAACAUCCCUCAUUUCUGAAUUUUCGUAUAAGUUUUUAGUUGUAAUGUAAGUAUCUAUUUUAAAUUUGAUAAAAGAGCCAAAGUAUGAAUCUAAGAACUUAUUCAUAGGAUUUCCAGGAUUUGUUCCAAAAAAAAAAAUCUGAGGACCUAUAUGUAAACCUUGAGGACCUAAUCGUAAAUAUAAUAAUACACGGACUAAACUAUAAAAUGCACAAAAUUACAAAUCUCACCAUUUAAGCCUCUCUGCCUUCGUUCUUAAGGAACCAGAGAAGGCAGCUGCGUGGAUUAAUAGAGAAAGAAGGAAAGAAGAAGAGAAAAAAAAGGGGGAAGAAGAAGAAGAAAAAAUUUGGGGCUUUAAGGUCUCUUGCUCAAAUCUUCUCAUUUAGGGUCAUAAUUCUCAAAAACAAGUGUUCUAAGCACAUCUUACAGAAGUAUUAGUCUCAAUUCUUAUAUUGAUUCUGAAAUAUUUCUGCUUAGAACCUGAUAUUUCUCUCUUUGGACAUAAAACUAAGGAUCUAGAAUUUUUUCGGUAAACUGACCCCUAUACACUGUUUCAGCUAUAAUUUUUAGCACCAAAUGUGGAUUUAGGUAUGACCUAGCUCGUUUGAAAUUAGACUCUUAUAACUUUCUUAUAAUACUAAAUUUGUAGAUUUUGGACACCGAAUACUUACCCAAACGUCUAUUUCAAACGAGCCUAUAGAUGUUGUAGAACAGGGAUCAAAAUUUCUAACCUUUCGAUACUAAAAUAUCUAUAAGUCCCUGUUGGAAAUUCUGAUUUUUACCAAACUGACAUCAUUCAAACUAGACUUUUAGACCUUUCUUUUGACAUAUAGAUUAAAAAAUUUGAAAUUCAAAUGCCUAUCCUGUUAUCUGUUGAAUCCGACCCUAUGAAUUCUGUAAAACAGUGAUUUUGUUUUCGACCUUGUGUUACCAAAUCAAAGGUAACUCCUUGUUGGAAACUAUGAUUCGUACAAAGUUCAUUUCAUCAGAAAAUAGAUUGAUAUAUCUUUCAACAAUAGCCUUUUUGAGAGUAUUAGAGCAUAAUUGAAAAUCUGAAGUAUUUAUCCAAUUUGCCUCUCGAAUUCUGUCAGAAAUCGAGCUUUGAUCGAUUUCGCAUCUUCUGUUUUUAUUCGUUUGGAAAUAGAUUUUAUUCAGUUCCCUUCACUCAAUUGUGACUUAUAUUAAUGCUUGAAUUCUCGUUUGCUCUUGUCUAUAAAUUAUUUCCAUUCCUGAACAUUUUGUGUAGCCUUUAUGCUAUAUCACAUUGACUUAUAUAGGCACAUGUAUAUCCCAUUGUUCCGCAUUUGCUUUCGAUAUGUGUCUAUUCUAGUUUCAAUCCUUUGAAUAUCAAAUUCAUCUAACCUUCUUAUUUGAAUUGAGUUGUAUGUGAUUGCUUGGAUUAUGUGUGUGCCCUUGCUUUCAUUUCCUUUCUAGUCCGAUUACAAUGGUGAAAGAUUAUUGCUUACUUUGUAUUGACUCGUAAAGGCACAUGUACGUUUGGUUGUUCCGCGUGUGCUUCCGAUAUGUGCUAUUCAUUGUUCACACUAUCCUUUUUUACUCUGGUGUUUGUGGGAUAUUGUGAACCUUUGCCAGAAAUGGUGAAGGGAGUUAUGCAUAGAGCCUGAGAUGCUCUACCGGCCCUUAUGACUUCACUCAGACGUGGGUGGAUGGAGCUCCCAGACGUGAGAGACCUCCCAGAUGUGGGAGACUUAUGUUUGGUGGUCAUUCAGAAAUGGAUGUACCAUAUUAUGUUAUGGUCCCACUUCACCUUCUGUAUGUUUGAUAUGGUAUCCAGAGCUUUGGUUAUGUGUUUCUAUACAUACUUUGGAUAUGAAUGAUAUGAAUGCAAUGUCAAAUUCGACAUUUGAGCUUUUGUUUCAUAUUCAUCUUUGAAAUGCUCCGAAAUGGUCCAUACGCCAUGGAUAUGUUCCGAAAUGUUUCAUUUAUCAUUGAUAUGCUUCGAAACAUUUCAUACGCCUUUGAUAUGCUCCAAAAUGUUUUAUUUGUUAUUAAUAUGCUUCGAAAUGUUCGAUAGGUUGUUGAUAUGCUCCGGAACAUUUCAUAUGCUAUUGAUAUGCUCCAAUUACUCUAUGCUCCAUCUGUUAUGAACCAAAUAUGUUUGAUUGAGAUGACAUUUAUGAUUCUGCCCUAAUGAGAUUAAGUCUAUGAAUUAUUAUAUUUUGCCUUGCAUUUUGAAGCCUUAUUUGUUUGGAAAUUGCCCUCUUUUACAAUGGAUAUGUUAGUCACUUGCUGAGCUUUAUAUGCUUACCCCGUUGUUGUAUAAAUUUUUCAGGAUAGCUUGUCGCUCGCUUAAAUGUUAAGGUUGGGCUGAGGUAGUAGAAAGCUAAAAGAUUUUGGGCAGAUCUUUAUUAGUAUAUAUGUUUUUGUUGUAUAAGCACACUCUACAUCUAAUGAAAUGUUGACGAUGAAUCUAAACUUGUGGAUUAUGUAUUAGAUUAAAGGACCUCUAAUGUCUAGGAUUCUGGAAUGUUAAGUUUAAUUCGUGUAAUGAUAUGAACUUAUGGUAAACAUUGGUUUUGUGACUGUAUAGACUCCCAUACUUGUGAAUUUAUUUUGUGGUUAUUAUUUUGGUGAGUUGGGUUCAGAUUUUAUGAAUCAUCGAACGAUGUGUUGAAUGUUUAUGAACUGCACAGGGUUUAUAAAUUUGUAGAUUAUAGAGGUGAAAUUUUGAUAUGAAUGUUUUCUUAGUGACCUCAAAUGUGUGAUUGGAUCCUGGAUGGAUUUGUGUUAAAAUUUUUUUAAUAUUAUCAUUAUUUUGAGGGGCGUGACAAUGUACGCUCUAGAUAUCUUAUCAUUAAUACAAAUAUUUCAAGUUUAUAGCAAUUCAUUCUAUCAUCAAUUUUACCACAUAUGUCUCCCCCUUUAUCAUCAACAAAAAGGAGAGCAAUCAUAGUAAUUCAUUCUAUCAUCAAUUUACCACAUAUUUCUCCCGCUUUGUCAUCAACAAAAAGGAGAGCAAUUCAAUAAUAAGUGUGGUAUGGAUACAUGUCAUAAAAAGAUUCAUGUCAUUUUUCAACAAUAAGUGAUAAUAUAUCAUUCAUACAAAUUAUUUUUCAAGCAAUUAUGACAUGGUAUCAUUCAAAAGUCCACUAUGGAGAUAGCUUUCAUUACUUCUUCCCUUUUUAUUUGUCAUUAAUGUUUUGCAUGAAGGAGGAAAGCCAUUGAGUUAAAAACGAUAAGAGAUUAAAUUAUGCUUCAUUUUCACUAGGAUCAAGAUAUACAUGUGAAAUUAAAUCCUUGCAAGUGUUCAUCUCUAAAAGAAAUCUUCCUUCAUCAAGAAGGAAUUCAUGUGAAAGAAUCAUUACGUCAAAUCCAUUUCUUGAUUUAAAAAUUAUUUUUCACAAGGUAAAUCAAUGAGAAAUGCAAUUGUUAAUUAAUUCCUUAUGUCAAAAAUCAUGGAGCAUCGAUAUGAAAUAAGCUUGAUAUGACAUAGGCUCCUGAAAGCUCCAUUCAAGAACUACAUUAUGUUCGGAAUAAAAACAUGCAUUCGGACAAUAUUUUGUUAUAGCUUUUCAAUCACAAUCAUGAAGGUAAAACAUGCUCAUCAUCAUGGAAAUUUUUUGGCAUCAAGACACACAAUUUCCAACAUGUUAUUGAAGCAUAUAAUCAUGUAAAAUAAGACUUUCAACAUUGAGUUUUUAAGUGAUUGAUCAAAGAGUCAAGAAAGUCUGAAAAUGAAAUUUAACAAAUUCAUGCAUUCGGAUAAUGUUUUGCCAUAGUUUUUCAAUCAUAAUUAUGAAGCAAAAUUAUUAGUGUUUUGUAGUACUCAAAGAUUAAGAAUCCAAUGUAUGAAUGAACUUUCUCAAAUCACAAUAAGAGUAUAACAUGCUUAUCAUGGAAACUUUUAGCACCAAGGCAUAAAAUUUUUAACUUUAAAGUAAACAUGUUAUUGAAGCAUUCAAUUAUGUCAAAUUCAUAUAAAAUUUUUAGCACGGAAUUAAAGUGAUCAAAUAAUAAGAAAAUUCCUAAAAUGAAGUUUAAUCAACAUUUAAUAUUCCAAACUCUGUAAAUGCUCACCAAAUAAUACAUCAAAUCGUAGAUACCAAUAGUUAAACAUAUCAAGGACUUGCGAUCAUCAAAGUAAGUGGCAUUGCGAUCAAAGUGAGUAGCAUAGUAAGUUUACAACAACAUAGUUUUACAACAUGAUAAGAAGAAAUUGUGUCCACUUUUUCUACAUACAUAUGCUCAUUCAGGUGGUAGAAAGUUAAAAUGUCUAAACAGAGUGUCAAACUGUUGAUGAAUCUGCUGCAGCUUAGAUAGGAUUUGAUCUUGACGAUGUUCAAGUCGAUCUUAUCUUUGUUCAAAGCGAUCCAUCCGAAUCACUAUAUCUUCGAUAGAUGAUAAAGGUGCUUGCUCAAUUGGAUGUGAUUCUUUAAAGGGACCAGUUGGAGGAGAUUGAUUAUUCCUAAAGAUUGGUGUUUCUGGUUUUGGUUCAGGUUGAGGGGGAUCGGUUCUUCUAGGCAUUCUAACCCACAUACAUUUCUAAAUAUGCAUCUCAUCCAUCGAAGUAGAUUUUUAUUUAUGAUGCUAAAUCUAUCUAGCUUUAUAGCAAUAUCAUAGGCACGGAGAAUUCUAGUGAUUAUGCUACCAUAUGGAAGCAUCAUGUCCUUUUUAGAUAUUUCUAUCAUGUUUUGUUGGAAAAUGUAACCAAAGUAAUUGUUGCAUCCCUUCAUGAGCCAAUACAUGGUUCCUAGUUCCAUUUGACUUAGUUCAUCAUGAUGGUAUUAUUUCGGGAGAAUGAUACUAAUUAAAAUGUGAUGAAGUAUUUUAGUGCUUAAUGGUAAUAGAUGUUCAUAGCUUUUUGGAAGUACCAUUAAGUUGAGAUUGCCAAAAAUUGUUCCUAAGGCAUCAACAUACGUGGUCCCAACUGUUUCAUCAUCCCAUUGUCCUCUAAAAUAACAACCUCUAUCUUUUACAGGGAUGCCUAUUAUGUCGUAAAGGGAUCUAUCCGUAAUGGAUAUAUAAUGUCCAAAAAGAUAGGUAGACAUCCUUUCUUCUUCAUCUAUAUUUAGAUUGUUAUAAAACAACCUAACAAGCCUAGGGUAGAUAGGUUCACUUAUUUGUAGGAUUGGGAGAAGGUCUAGAUUUGCAAACCAUUGAAUUGAUUCUAAAUCACUUAGUUCAUCUAAAUCAACAUACUUUCCUUUAUGAACAUUUCUAAAUUCCAUGAAAGUAAAUUUUUGGGCAUGUAGAUUUGAAUCAAAAAGUGUGGAAUCAUAGUUUUCUUCUAAUCUCCUCUUCCCUUUGUCCCUAGAGGAUCUUCUAAAACCCAUAAAUACUGCUAUUUAGGAAGAUAAAUAAUGAGCAAGAGUAGAUCAUAUAAAAGAGAAAUCAAAGCCUUUUAGAGAAUACCUUAGUUGAGAUCUUCAAGAUGAUAUAGGAUUGAUUCUUGAUCUUGCAGGAAAUAGGCAGCUAAAGGGGAAGAAUGGAGUUGGAGGAGGGUUUUGAGCUGCAAGGAAGAGAGGAAAAUGAGUUGGGGUCGGUUCUACCACCGAUCCUAGCUCGGUUUUAAAAGGGGCAAGUUGCGGGUGGUGGCACCGCUGGCUGGGCGGUGCUAUCGCCACUUGGGUGGUGCCACCGCCUACAGGCAGUGAGCACUGCUUUCAGGGCUGCAUGGGCUGAUGUGGGUGUUUUCAAUUUGAAGAGAGUUUUUAUUUGUGGAGCAACCAACCUUAAUUACACAAUUAUGUAAAAAUUUCCAUCACAAGAUGCGAAAUUUUGUACGUUCAUGAUAGAUUUUGUGAAAUGCAUACUCUACUCAAAUGUCAUAUAGAGUUUUUAAUAUGUUCAUGACUCAUCAUGCAAGCUCGUAAGCCUCGCUAGUUCAUGAUUUAUAUCAGACAAGAAUUCGUAUGCAAACUUGGCUUGUAAGACUUAAGUUCAUGAUCUUAUAAGAUAUAGUUGGAUCCGGAAAAAAACAUGAAGAAUGAAUGUAUCCGAUGAAUUCGAAAAUCCGGAGGAUGUGUGAAGGGGAAUUCAUACAUAAGAGUUUACGAGUUUCAAAAUUUGAGGGAUCAAACUUAAGUGUUUAUCACACAAGAUUAUAUCAGUAUCAUUUUGUAAUUGAUAGUUUUAAUUCUACUAAUCCUCUUUUUGUAAUUUUAGCUAGAGAGCGUUAUGAGUCAUUUUGGAUUUCUGGUCAUAGGCCUUGAGCACCCAAAAAGCAAGAUAUCAUCUCUUGCUCCUAGCUUGUGAUGGUAUAUGUUUCUACAAAAGAGGAUGAUUUUUAGGUACUCAUUUGACCUUGGGUGCCUCAAAAAUCGAUCUAAAUUGUUUAUCAUGUUACAUAGAGUUCUUUAUGGUUUCUUUUGGAACCUAAAUCAAUUUGUUUGGACUAACUUUCUUGAAUGGAUAAUGAUAAGUUCUAUGUCCAUGUUUGUAACAAAAGUUGCAUUUGUUUUGGUGCGAAAUAUGCAAGAUAGGGCCUUUAAUAAAAGUGGUUGGAUUUUGGUGAGAGCUUCUUAUAAAUCUGAUUCUACUUCUUUUAUGAACGUGACCCUUAUUUAUAAGGAUCAUGUUCAAUGACUUGCUACCAACCUCAAAUUUCUUCAUGGUGUCCUUGAGUAGUAAGUUCUCCUUUUGGAGUGUUUCUAACUCAUGGUAUUUCGUACAUGGAAUUAAACUAUCAUUAUGCUUAAUUUUUAAUUUAUCGACAUUACUAACAAGAGUAUCAUGCUCCUUUUUUAAUAAUUUAUAUUUUCUACUAAUUUUUUUGCAUUCAUCAAAUAAAUCAUGGAAAGCAUUUAACAAUUCAUCAAAUGAUAAAUUUGCAUCAAUUAAAUUUGAUACCACCUCUCCAAUGGCCAUGAGUGCAUAAUGAGCAACUUGCUCGGUGUUGGACUCCUCUUCUUCGGAGGCGCUUGAGUCAUCCCAUAUUGCUUUGAGCACCUUCUUCUUUGGUGUUCUCUUCUUGGCUUGGGGUCAUUCAAUUUUAUAGUGUCUUGACUUCUUGCAUUCGUAACAAAUAACUUGGUCUUUCUUGGGUUCAAAUUUAUUUUUAGUGUCAUUUUUAAAUUUAUUUCUUUUAAUAAAUUUUUUAAAUUUCCUUGUUAAAAGUGCCAAGUCAUCGUCAAAGUCCUCAUCACUUGAGUUUUCUCUCAAGUGGUCUUCUUGAAUUCUAAGUGUCAUAUCCUUCCUAUUCUUUGGAAGGGUGUCCUCAUGCUCUUCAUGAACUUUGCAAGUUAUUUCGUAGGUCAUUAAUGACUCGAUUAAUUCUUUAAGAGGGAAGUUGUUUAAAUCUUUAACCUUUUGAAUGGUAGUGAUUUUAGGGUCCCAACUCUUUGGAAGGAAUCUUAGAAUUUUGUUAACGAGCUCGAAAUCUGAAAAACUUUUACUGAGUCCUUUUAGACCAUUGACAAUAUCUGUAAAACGGGUGAACAUGUCUCCUAUGGUCUCACUCGGUUUCAUUCGAAAAUGUUCAUAAGAAUGUACUAAAAGAUUGAUUUUUGACUCUUUCACUCUACUCAUGCCUUCGUGAGUCACUUCGAGUAUAUGACAAAUAUCAAAUGCAGUUUCACAAAUCGAAACACGAUUGAACUCGUUUUUAUCUAGUGCACAAAAUAAGGCAUUCAUAGCCUUUGCAUUUAAAACGAAAGUCUUCUUCUCCAAUUCAUACCAAUCGAUCAUUGAAAGAGAAGACUUUGAAAAUCUAUUUUCUACAAUAUUCUAAAGCUCAAAAUCCAUGGAAAUAAGGAAGAUCCUCAUUCGAGUCUUCCAAUAGGUGUAAUCCGUCUCAUUGAACAUGGGCGGACGUGUAAUAGAGUGACCCUCUUGGUUCCCGAUAAAUGCCAUCUCUCUUGGGUUUUAAUCCAACUGAGAGUGAACCCGCUCUGAUACCAAUUGUUAUGAUCAAGAGCACUACGANNNNNNNNNNNNNNNNNNNNGAGCACUACGGAGGGGGGGGGGGGGGGGGUGAAUUAGAGCAGUGAAAAACUUUCAUCGGUUAAAAUGACUUUCGUACGAUGAAAUCUGAUUUCGAUGAAAACUGUUUCGGAAAGAUCUUUUAAGUUGAGAGCAAACAGAAGUGUAGUUGAUGUAAAGCAAUGAAGGCAGUUUGUAGUUAAGAUAAAAAGUAGAAAAUAAAUCCAAAUCGAGAUUUAGAGUGGUUCGGUCAAUCUUGACCUACAUCCACUUUUGGCUUCCUCCUCUGAAGAGGUCACCGAUGUCCACUAGAGACCUUCCUUCAAUAGGCGAAGGGCAACCACCCUUUUAUAGUUUUUCUCCUUUUGACGGGCUUAGGAGACAACUCUUACAAGUUUUCACUCCUCUCUUGAAUGAUCGACACUUAAAAAGAAAGAGGGAGAAGAACUAUAGCUUUUACAACACUUUUAAGCCCUCAAAUACUCAGAAUUAAAGCAAGCUUUCAGUUGCCCUUUUAUGCAGAAAGGGUGGGGUUUAUAUAGGCCCCAAUCAGUUUGAAUUUGGAGCUCAAAAGUAUCCAUUCCCGAAUUUCCGGGGUCCUAGCGGUACCACCGCCAUAACUGGGCGAUACUACCGCCUGUCAUCUGUCACUGAGCAGUACUACCGCUCAGUCUGGGCGGUACUACUACCUGACAUUACUCGAAGACUUAGCUCAGGCAGUACCACCACUUGAUAGGGGCGGUAUCACCGCUGGCAGUAAUAACAACUAGCGGUACCACCGCCUGAUAGGGGCGGUACUACCAUCCAGAACUCUUGGGAGACCGAGUCUCCUAGGCGGUGCCACCGUCGGCCCUAGUGGUGCCACCGCCAACCAAGAAUUCUGGGUCCAAAUGGGCUGAUCCUUUUGGCCCAAUUUGGGUUUGUUAAGGGCCCAGUUGGCCCCAAAUUAAGUUAAUGGGAUCACCUCCCAAUUCUAACUUAAUCUACUUGCUAACUACAACAAUUAAGACAUCAAUACUACAAAUCAUAUUCCGGUGCAUCAAUCGCUUCUUCUGGCGAGCUUCCAGCGAACUUCCGAUGAACAUCUGACGAACCCUCGGCGAUGCUCUGACGGACUCCUGGCAAACUCCUGGACUUUGCGACGAUCCUCUUGGCGAGUUCCAACGAGCUUCUAUGGCAAGCUCCUGGACUUCUCGGAUUGUUCCCGCAGAACCUCCGACGAAUAUUCGGACUUCCGACGAACUCUUAAACCCCCAACGUGAUCUUGGUCUUGACUCCAGCUCGACACCGGCUGCAUGUCUUACUGCCAUCGUAGUUAAUCCUGCACACUUAUCUCAACAUAUAGAUUAUAUAAACAAAUGACAAUUGACUUCAUCAUCAAAAUUUGAGAUUCAAUAGAUAUAGGGGAAUCCAAUCCAUUAGACAUGUUUGUCCUCAGUUACCAUAUACCUAUAGUCCCUCAUCCAUCUAAUAUCUCAAAGAUUGUAUACCAGGCAUGGUGGUGUCAGACCUAUACGGUUUCUACUUGAGUCUCGCUCUAAUCGGAUUCACCCAGAGAACUCUUUCUCUUUUAAUCCGAAUGACCCUAGUUAGGGAUUUGUUUGAGCAAGAACACAUGGGAUAUUCCUCUCAUGACACCGAGAGUAGAUGAUCCUCUAUCGACACUCAAUAGUCCUCGUAAGGUUGACUACCACUCCCGAUGAUCGGUUGUGCUAGAUCUGGAAUCUCUAGACCUAUAAGUCUGGUAUCAAAGAAUAGAGUACUCAAACAUGACAUAUUUGGUAUCUUAAGUCUAAGGACCAAAUAGACAACUAGGACUACAGAAUCAUUUUCUAACAAUAAGGUAUCAUCAACCAUCCAACAUUAUGUUAGCGGAUCAAUUAGUGAACUUAUUCUCUAAUGAGCACCUGUACUAUAUCCCUAAUGUCCUCACAUGAGCAACUAUGAGACUAGUUGUAUCCAUCAUAUGGACGGGUAUACAGCACACUAGUUUGUCAGAUUAUCUCGAUGUCUCUCUUGAGUAACCUAUGACCGGGAUUAUUUAGGGUUUGUGUUUAAAGGUGAAUUGGUCUCAUUAUCAUGAUCUCAUCAUGAUCUGAUUCUUAUUGUAUAGAUCCAAGGACAUAAUAAUAUAUACAUGUGUAUAUGCAAAAAUCAAUAUAAAGUGAUAAAAUGUCAAAAUAUAAUAAGCAAAAAGACUACAUGUCAAGUCACACGUGUCAUCACUCACUUGAUUGGCUUGCAAGACACCUAUGACUAGCAGAUACCACCACCGGACACAUUGUCACUAGGCCAUACCACUGCCUAACAGCCUCGGAGACUAGAUUUUUUGAGUUUUCCAACUCAUUGGCAGUUCCAUCACUUGUUCUGGCGGUGCCACUGCCUGACCCAACUUUUUUGUCACUGAAUGAGCCUCCCAAUGAGCCCAAAUCAGUCCCAAUUGGCCCCUAAUUGAGUUAGCAUGAUUACACCAAAAGCUAACUCAAUUAAACCCCUAAACUACUUUGAUCUUAUACAAAUGAUUACAAAGCAUGAAUCCUUUGUCAGGCAUGUCAUUAGCUCAUCUGACGCUUCAUCCGAUCCUUCAGCACAUCAUCCUCUCCUUCGGCGUAUUAUCCAAUCGGCAAAUUGACUCCCACAAAUUAUGAUCUCCUUGGCACAAUGUCCGAUCCUUCGGUCUGAUACCCGAAUUCACGGCACGAAGCCUUCUGCCGAUGUUGAAUCUCAGAUUUUGAUGAUAAAACAAAUUGAUAGGGUUUAUGAUUUGAUUUGCAUUUUGAGUGACGUAGGAUGCUUCGAUCAGCGAGAGACAAUUUUGUUGAAUCUCAAAUUUUGAUGAUGAAACCAAUUAAUGAGUGUUUAUGAUUUAAUCUGGAUUUUGAGUGACAUAGGAUGCUUCGAUCAGGAUGAGACAAUUAAAGCAGGAAGAAUCAUAUUGGGCCUGAGGAAAACAUGUCAGAAGAUUGGACCUCAAGCCGGAGGAUUAGUCGAUGUAUCGGCAGAAGGCUUUGGGCCAUGGAUUCAGGCAUCGGGCCAAGAAGAGUGGAUAUUACGCCAAGGAUAUCGGAGUUGCGGAGUCAACUGGCUGAUUGGACAAUAGACCACAAGAGAGGAUGAUGUGCCGAAGAAUCGGACGAAGCGUCGAGGGGCCAAUGACAUUCCGGACAACAUGAUUCAAGCUUAGUAAUAAUUGUCUAGAUCGAAGUGUGUUUUACAUGUGUAGGAUUAACUAUGAUAGCAAGGUAUAAAGCAAAAUGAAGUCCCGGAGUCAAGAACGCGAUUUCGUUGGGAGUUCGAGAGUUCGUCAGAAGUUUGGACGUUCGUCAAAAGUUCUAUAGGAACCAGCCGAGAAGUCUCGGAGCUUGCUAGAGAAGCUCAUCGGAACUCACGAAGAAGAUUGUUAUGAAGUCCAGGAGCUUGCCGAGAGUUCACUGGAACAAUACCGAGAGAUGUCGGAAGUUCGCCGGAAGACCGCCGGAAGCUCGCUGGAAGAAACUAGACUUACGGACUUGUUUAGCUUAGAAUAUGUCUUAGGAAUCAUAGUUAGCAUGUAAUUGGGUUUGGAUUUGGGCCAACCCAAUUAGGGGCCAGUUUGGCCCAUGUAAGGACUAUGUUGGACCCAAUGGAAAGGCCCAAACAGUGCCCCAAGAGGUGACACCGUCGUGGCACAAUCUCCGAGACUAUGUCAGACGGUGGUACCAUCGGUCUGGGUAGUGAUACUGCCCAAACACAGCCUCCAAGAGGCUGCAGGUGGUGGUACCUGUUAGGAUCAAGAGCGUACUAAGAGGGGAGGGUGAAUUAGUGCAGCGAAAAACUUAUGUGAUUUCAGAAAAUAUUUCGUACAUUCGAAGGAAAUCAAUUCGGAAAGAUAAUUACUUUAAAACGUAAGAGAGUAUAAGUGUAGUGAAAGCAAGAUGAGGAGAAUAAGUACUUUGCUAUAAAAUGAUUUGCAGUUAAAGAAGAUUGCUCAAAACGAAAUGUAAACCAAAUUUAGAGUGGCUCGGUCAAUCGUGACCUAUAUCCACUUUCGGCUUCCUCCUCCGAUGAGGUCACCGAUGUCCACUAGAGGCCUUCCUUCAAUAGGUGAAGGCCAACCACCUUUUAUAGCUUUUCUCCUUUUUUCGGGUUUAGGAGACAACCCUUAUAAGUUUCACUCCUCUCUUGAAUGAUCUCAACACUUAGAAAGGGAGGAGAAGAACUCUAGCACUUGUUUACAACACUUUUACACCCAAACAACUCAAGAUUAUCUCAAUGUUGCAGAAAAGGGUGGGGUUUUUAUAGGCCCCAAUGGCUUCAAAAUUGGUGCCAAAAAGUAUCACAUCCCCAAAAUCCGGGGUACUGGCGGUACCAUCGCCAUUACUGGGUGGUACUACCGCCGUUGAUAUGACCCAGGGCGGUACCAUCGCUGAACAGGGGCGGUACUACCGUUGGCAGCACUGUUGUCUAUGGUACCGUCGCCAAUCCUGGGUAGUACCACCACCCAGGAAUCCAGCAGCACUGCUUUCCAAGCGGUGCCACCAUAGGCCAUGUUUUCAGGGUCCUUAUUGGGCCUUGAAUCCAGCCCAAACUAGCCCAACUUGGGCCCAAUUGGCCCUAAAUUAAGUUAGUGGGAUUACUUCCUAAUCUUAACUUAAUUUACGCUCUAACUAUGGCAACUAAGACAUGAUUACUAUAAUUCAUGUUUCGGUGUGUCAAUCGCACUUCCGGCGAUCUUCCGGCGUACUUCUGGUGAACAUCCGACGAACUCUCGACAAUGCUCUAGCGGACACCCGGCAAGCUCCUGGACUUUGCGACGAUCUUCUUGGCGAGUUCCGAUGAGCUUCUAUGGCAAGUUUCUAGACUUCUCGGUUAGUUCCCGUAGAACUUCCGAUGAACGUCCGGACUUCCGACGAACUCUCGAACUCCCAAUGUGAUCUUGAUCUUGACUCUGGCACAAUACUUGCUUCAUGUCUUACUGCUAUCGUAGUUAAUUCUACACAGUUUUCUCAACAUAUAGAUUAGAUUAAACAAAUUAUAAUUGACUUCAUCAUCAAAAUCCGAGAUUCAACAAUCUCCCCCUUUUUGAUGAUGACAAUCAAUUGAUGACGGAGUUAACCUUAACUCCCCUAUCUAUAUGCCAUACUUGAGAAAAGACAUUCUUGCAUUCAAGACCUUUGAAUUCAAGAGACAUAUUGAUAAGUUAAGUUCAUUUAAACUUAUCAAUACACACAUCAUGAUUCCUAUCAUGAUCUAACAUUCUCAAAAUGAUGUCAAGGCAUGACAUCCAUUUUCAAGUAUGAUAUUUCAAGUAUGAAAGAUGAUAAAUAUAGCAAUUCAUCAUUCUAUGGCAAGAUAUCAAUUUGUAAAAUUAUAAAUUAAGCUCUAGAUAUCUUAUCAUAAUGAAGAAAAUUUAUCAAGCAAAUAUUUCAUGUAUUUAUGAUGAAAUACAUUGCAUACAUUUGUCAUCAAUUUAUCAUAUUUUGAUAUUAUUUCUCCCCCUUUGUCAUCAAUAAAAAUGAGAACAAUUUCAACAAUGCAAGUGUGGUAAAAAUUCAUGCCACAUUUCAAUUUGUAUACCAAUCAUAUUUCAAGCAUUCAUGACAUGGUAUCAUUCAAAAGUUCUCAUAUUAAAAGUUAUAAAUAUUUAAAGAGAUGGCUUCCAUCAACUUCUCCCUUUUUAUUUUCAUUAAAACUUUGCAUGAAAAAGGAAAGAAAGUAGGAAAUCCAUUACGAACCCACUUUGUGAUGAUUUGAAUCAUCAAAAAUGAUAAAAGAGUUUCAUUAAAUCAUGCUUCAAUUUUUCACAAAGAUCAAGAUAUUCAUGUGAAAUUAAAUCCUCACUCUUGCAAGUGUUCAUCUAAAAAAGAAUCAUAAAAAAAAAUUCUUCCUUCAUAAUGAGAAGAGCAUUACAUCAAAUCUAUUUCUCAAAAAUUCAUACGAGUGAAAUCCGUGAGAGAUGCAUUUGUUAAUGAAAUCCAUGAAUCAAACAUCAAGAUAUGUAUAAAUACUUCAUGCAUUUAUAAAAUGUUUUGUCAUAGCUUUUCAUCACUACUUGCAUGAGGUAAUAUCAUUAGUGCUUUGCAGUACUCAAAGAUUAAGAAUCCGAUGUAUGAUUAAAAUGUCUCAAUAUUCAAUAGAAAUCAUAAUCAUGAAAGUAAACAUGAUAUUGAGGCACAUAAUCUUAUCAUCAUGUAAAAUUCACAGUACUGAAUUUAAGUGAAUGAUCAAAGAAUAAAGAAAGUCCGAAAACGAAAUUUAACAAAUUCAUGCAUUCAGACUGAUUAACAUUCAUAACUCUCUUCUAAUAAAAUUAAAUUAUUCUUCAUUUAAAGACUUUGUAAAAAUAUCAGCUAACUGAUAUUUUGUAUCAAUAAACUCUAGGAUUACAUCAUGAUUAGUGACAUGAUCUCGUAUAAAGUGAUGCCUAAUGUCAAUAUGUUUUAUUCUAGAGUAUUGAAUGAGAUUCUUUGUUAAACAUAUUGUACUUGUGUUAUCACAUUUUAUGAGGAUAUUUUUAAGAUAAAUUUUAUAAUCCUUUAAAGUGUUUUUCAUCCACACAACUUGUGCACAGCAUGCACUAGCUACAAUGUACUUAGCUUCGGUUGUAGAUAGUGCAACCGAGUUUUGUUUCUUGGAUGACCAAGAAACAAGUGCGUGUCCUAAAAACUGACAUGUUCCGGAUGUGUUUUUUCUAUCUAAUCUAUAUCCAGCAAAAUCCGCAUCAGCAUAUGCAAUUAGUUCAAAGUUCUAAGAUUUUAGAUACCAUAAUCCUAGAUUAGUUGUACCUUUAAGAUAUCUAAGUAUUCUUUCAACUACAUUGAGAUGAGAUAUCUUAGGAUUAGAUUGAUACCUAGCACAAAGUCCUACACUAAACAUGAUAUCCGAUCUAGUUGCGGUGAGGUAAAGUAAACUUCCUAUCAUACCCCUAUAAGCUUUUUGAUCAAAGCUUUCUUCACUUUCAUCAAUUUCUAACUUAGUGGAGGUGCUCAUAGGAGUUUUGAUAGCCUUUAAGCUAUCCAUAUUAAACCUUUUUAGCAAAUCUAAGGCAUAUUUUGUUUGACUAAGAAAUAUAUCAUUACUUAGUUGUUUGAUUUGUAAGCCCAAAAAGAAAGUUAAUUCCCCCAUCAAACUCAUUUCAAAUUCAAGACUUAUACUUUUAGCAAAUGACUCACAUAGAGAUUCAUUCGUACAACCAAAAAUGAUAUCAUUAACAUAAAUUUAAAAAAUAAAAAAAAUAUUUUUAAAAUUUUUGAUAAACAAUGUAUUAUCGACCUUGUCUUUAGACAAAUUAUUUUCAAUAAGCAAUGAACUAAGUCUCUCAUACCAAGCCCUUGGGGCAUGUUUUAAAUCAUAGAGAGCUUUAGUUAAUUUAAACACAUGAUUAGGGAGACUAUCAUUCUCAAAUCCGAGAGGUUGUUCAACAUAAACUUCUUUGGAAAUAAAGCCAUUAAGAAAAGUACUUUUAACAUAUAUUUAAAAUAACUUAAAAUUAUUAUUACUAGCAUAGGCAAGGAGCAUCUUUAUGACUUCUAAUCGAGCCAUAGGAGUGAAGGUUUCUUCGUAAUCGAUACUUUCUUCUUGGUUGAAACCUUUGGCUACUAAUCUAGCUUUAUUUAUAACCAUGAUACCAGAUUCAUCUUGCUUCUUUCUAAAGACCCAUUUAGUACCAAUAACUAAAUGGUCAUUUGGCCUAGUAACAAGCUUCCACACCUCAUUUCUCUCAAAUUGAUUUAACUUAUCUUGCAUUGCAAUGACCCAUGAAUCAUCUUUCAAGGCCUCGUCAAUAUAUUUUGGUUCAAUUUCGGAGAGAAAAGCGGCGUUGGCACAAAAAUUCUUAAGAAAAAAAUGAGUUUGAACCCCUUUAGAUGCAUCUCCUAUGAUUAGCUCCUUAGGAUGAGCAUCUACAUACUUUCAAUCCUUGGGUAAGGAUGUUUCAGAAGUAAAUGCAUCCAAGUUGCUAGAUGGAGAAANNNNNNNNNNNNNNNNNNNNAAAAGCGGCGUUGGCACAAAAAAUUCUUAAGAAAAAAAUGAGUUUGAACCCCUUUAGAUGCAUCUCCUAUGAUUAGCUCCUUAGGAUGAGCAUCUACAUACUUUCAAUCCUUGGGUAAGGAUGUUUCAGAAGUAAAUGCAUCCAAGUUGCUAGAUGGAGAAAGGGUUUCAUUUAAAUUUAAAGCACCAAAAUUAAUAUCAUCAUCAAAAUCAUUUUUCUUAAUUUUGAAAACCUUAUUAAAAACAACAUAAAUGGAUUCUUCUAUAAUAAAAGUUCUUUUAUUAAAAAUACGAAAUGCUUUAGAAAUAGAAGAAUAGCUAAGAAAAAUUCCUUCAUCAGAUUUAGCAUUAAAUUUUCCUAAAGCAUCUUUUUCAUUCAAGAUAAAACACUUACACCCAAAAACUUUAAAAUAUGAAACAUUAGGUUUUUUGUUGUUCCACAACUCAUAAAGAGUUUUGGAAAGUAAAGGUCUUACUAGAACCCUAUUCAUGACAUAGCAUGCCGUAUUUACAGCUUCGGCCCAAAAAUAUUUUGGUAGGCUAUGUUCAUUCUACAUGGUUCUAGCUAUUUCUUGUAAGUUUCUAUUCUUUCUUUCUACUAUUUCAUUUUUGUUAAGGAUUUCUUGGAGUAGAGAAGUCAUGGUUGUAUCCAUUAGAUUCACAAAAUUCUUGAAAAUCACGGUUUUGAAAUUCACCACCGUGAUCACUUCGAAUUGAUGAAAUCAUAAAACCCUUUUCAUUUUGAACAAGUUUACAAAACUUAGAGAAAUACCUAAAGCAUUUACUUUUGUGUACCAAAAAAUAAGUCUAUGUGUAUCUACUGUAAUCAUCCACGAUAACAAAUACGUAUUUGCUACCUCCCAGGUUUGAUGUAGCAAUUGGUCCGACCAAGGUCAAAUGGGUACCUUUCUUGGGUUCAAAUUUAUUUUUAGUGUUAUUUUUUAAUUUGUUUUUUUAAUAAUUUUUUUGAAUUUUCUUGUUAAAAGUGCCAAGUCAUCAUCGCUUGAGUUUUCUCUCAAGUAGUCUUCUUGUGUUCUCAGUGUCAUAUCCUUCCUGUUCUUUGGAAGGGUGUCCUCAAGCUCUUCAUAAGCUUUACAUGUUAUUUUAUAGGUCAUUAGUGACCCAAUUAAUUCUUCAAGAGCAAAGUUAUUUAAAUCUUUGGCCUCUUGAAUGGCCGUGACUUUAGGGUCCCAACUCUUUGGAAGGGAUCUUAAAACUUUAUUAACGAGCUUAAAAUCUGAGAAACCUUUACUAAGUCCUUUUAGACCAUUGACGAUAUCCGUAAAUUGGGUGUACAUGUCUCCAAUGGUCUUACUCGGUUUCAUUCGAAACAAUUCAUAAGAAUGCACUAAAAGGUUAAUUUUUGACUCUUUCACUCUACUAAUGCCUUCAUAAGUCACUUCGAGUGUGUGCCAAAUAUCAAAAGCCAUUUCACAAAUCGACACUCGAUUAAACUCAUUUUUAUCUAAUGCACAAAACAAGGCAUUCAUAGCCUUUGCGUUUAAAGCGAAAGUCUUCUUCUCCAACUCAUUCCAAUCGUUCAUUGGAAGAUAAGACUUUUGAAAUCCAUUUUCUAUAAUAUUCCAAAGCUCAAAAUCCAUUGAAAUAAGGAAGAUCCUCAUUCUUAUCUUCAAAUAUGUGUAAUUCGUCCCAAUGAAUAUAGGCAGACGUAUAAUUGAAUGACCCUCUUGGUUGCCGACAAAUGCCAUCUCUCUUGGGUUUUAAACCAAAUGAGAGUGAACCUUGCUCUGAUAUCAAUUAUUAGGAUCAAGAGCGAACUAAGAGGCGGGGGUGAAUUAGUACAGCGGAAAACUUAUAUGAUUUCAGAAAAUAUUUCGUAUGUUCGAAGGAAAUCGAUUCGGAAAGAUAAUUACUUUAAAACGUAAGAGAGCGUAAGUGUAGUGAAAGCAAGAUGAGGAGAAGAAGUACUUUGCUAUAAAAUGAUUUGCAAUUAAAGAAGAUUGCUCAAAACAAAAUACAAACCAGAUUUAGAGUGGUUCGGUCAAUCGUGAUCUACAUCCACUUUCAGCUUCCUCCACCGAUGAGGUCACCGGCGUCCAUUAGAGGCCUUCCUUCAAUAGGCGAAGGCCAACCACCAUUUAUAGCUUUUUUCCUUUUGCCAGGUUUAGGAGAUAACCCUUACAAGUUUCACUCCUCUCUUGAAUAAUCUCAACACUUAGAAAGGGAGGAGGAGAACUCUAGCACUUAUUUAUAACACUUUUACACCCCAACAACUCAAGAUUAUCACAAUGUUUUCAUUACCUUUCAUGCAAAAAAGGGUGGGGUUUUUAUAGGCCCCAAUGGCUUCAAAAUUGGAGCAAAAAAGUAUCACAUCCCUGGAAUCCGGAGUACUGGCGGUACCACUACCAUUAUGGAGCGGUACUAUCGUUGCUGAUAUGACCCUGGGCGGUACCAUCACCGAACAAGGGCGGUACCACCGUUGGCAGCACUACUGCCGACAGUACCACUGCCCAUCCUAGGCGGUACCACCUCCUAGGAAUCUAGGGGCACUGCUUUCCAGGCGGUGCCACCGCAGGCCAUGUUUUCAGGGUCCUUGUUGGGCCUUGAAUCCGGCCCAAACCAGCCCAACUUAGGGCCCAAUUGGCCCCAAAUUAAGUUAGUGGGAUUACCUUCUAAUCUUAACUUAAUUUAUACUCUAACUACAACAACUAAGACAUGAUUACUACAAUUCAUGUUCCAAUGCAUCAAUCGCACUUCCAACGAGCUUUCGGCGUACUUCCAUCGAACAUCCGACAAACUCUCGGAAAUCCUCCGACGGACUCCCGGCAAGGUCCUGGACUUUGCUCGAUAUUCUUGGCGAGUUCUAAUAAGCUUCUAUAGCAAGCUUCUAGACUUCUCGGUUGGUUCCCGCAAAACUUCCUACGAACGUCCGAACUUCCAAUGAACUCUCGAACUCCCAACGUCAUCUCGAUCUUGACUCCAACAUAACACCUACUUCAUGUCUUAUUGCUAUCAUAGUUAAUCCUGCACACUUUUCUCAGCAUAUAGAUUAUAUUAAAUAAAUUAUAAUUGACUUCAUCAUUAAAAUCCGAGAUUCAACAGUACCGCCCAGUGUCAGGCGGUGGUACCGCCAGACUGGGUAGUGGUAUCGCCCAUCACAAUGUCAGUGUAAGACUAACACUAGCGGUGGUAUCGCCCGUGCCUAGGAAACUCGUGAUGAGAUGUUUUUAGGCUCCAAGUUUGAAUCAACUUGAAGCCUAUAAAUACCCCUCUCAUCCCUGGUUAAUACGCACAAGUAUUGAGAGUAAAAAAGAAAAGAAAUGCUACUACAAUCUUGUGUGAGUUCCUCUCAAAGUUCUAAGCGUUAUAAUAGUUUGAGAGAGGAGUAAGUGGGAGUGUAAGGGUUAUCUCCUAAACUUGAUUAAAGGAGAAUCGAGUUGUAAGAAGGAGGUUGAUCUUCGCCUAUUAAAGGAAGAUCGAUAGUAGAUGCCGAUGGCCUCGACGGAAGAGGAAUCGGCGAAGUGGAUGUAGGUCAUGACGACCGAACCACUCUAAAAUCUUGUUUGCUUUUCAAUUAUGUAAUUUAUAUUACUGCAAACCUCCUCAAGCUUCUCUUUACAUUUUGCAUGAAAGUUUUUGAGUUCAAAGUUUAGCAUUUCCGAAUUUGGUUUUAUCAUACGAAAUGAGAAAAUUUCAGAACCGAUGUGAUUUUUACCGCUGCACUAAUUCACCCCCCCUCUUAGUGCCGACCCCCAUUCCUAACAAUUGGUAUCAGAGUCUCGUUAUUUCUUAUUUGGUUUAAUACCCAAGAGAAAUGGCUCUUUUCGGCUUUCAAGAUGGUCACUCUUUCAUUCGUCCUCCCUUUUUCAAUGGGACGGACUACACUUGUUGGAAAACUCUAAUGAGAGUUUUCUUGCUUUUUAUUGAUUUAAAUUUAUGGAAUAUGGUCAAAAAACAGAUUUUAAAGGUCUUCUCUUCUAAUGAACGAUUGGAAUGAUUUGGAGAAGAAGACGUUAUCUCUAAAUACUAGAGCUAUGAAUACUCUAUUUUGUGCCUUAAACAAAAAAUGAAUUCAAUCGGGUUUCUUUGUGCGAAACGAUUUUUGAUAUUUGGCAUAUUCUCGAAAUCACACAUAAAGGCACGAAUAGAGUUAAAGAUUCUAAAGUCAAUCUUUUAAUGCACGAUUUUGAACUUUUUCGAAUGAAACCAAACGAAACCGUUGUUGACAUGUACACCCAUUAUACGAAUGUCGUCAAUGGUUUAAAAGCUCUUGGUAAAAGCUUUUCGAAUUUUGAACUCGUUAACAAGAUUUUAAGAUCUCUUUCUAAAAAUUAGAAUUUGAAAGUAACGGCAAUACAAGAAUCAAAAGAUUUGAACUAUUUUCCAAUUGAACAACUAAUUGGGUUUUUAAUGACCUAUAAAAUGACUAAUAUGGAACUUGACGAAUAUGAGAACCACCUUCCAAAGAACGGGAAGGAUUUUGAACUUAGAAUAAUUAAAGACCACUCGAGCAAAAGCUAAAGUGAUAGUGAACUUGAACUGCUCAUGAAAUUAAAAAGUUCAUGAAACAAAAAUUAAAGAACAAAAAGAAUGCAACUAAUUACUAUGAAUGUAAGAAGAACACAAAUUGGGAUGAAUCGAGCUCAUCCGAAGAUGAGGAAAAAAUCAACAAAGACGAGGUGGCAAACUACGCCUUAAUGGUAUUUGAUGAUGAGAUAAUCAAAAUGCCUUUAAUUUAUUUCGAAAUUACAUGAUAAUUUUUUUCAUGAGUUAUUUUUAAUUUAGUCUAAUUAUUUUUCUUGAAAAUUACAUGUUUAAUAAUGUAAUGAAAAUGCUAAAAAAUUAUGAUCAUGCUAGUAAUUUUGAAAAUGAUAAUAAAAAUUGUAUGUUUUAUGUUAAUAGAAUAAAAUGUUAGAUUUAAAUCUAAUGAUGAUCUUAUGAAUGUUUUUCAACAAGAAAUAAUGUGUAUCUUGAUGAUUUUUUAUUUUGAUUGAAACCAUGCUUGAUGUCUUAAUGAAAAUAUUAAGAUGUUUGAUAUCAUGCUUAAUAAUGAUGCAUGGAUUUUGUAUCGAAAACUAAGCUUGCAAAGUUAGAUUCACCUAAAAAGAAAAAUGCAUGACUACAACAAACAAAAUGAUCUUGAUGGAAAAUGCUUUAUGUUUAAUGAAAUCAAGUUCGAUGAUGCAUAAUGAUGUAAUUAUGUAAUGAAAAUAUUAAAUAUUUUGAAACCAUGUCUUGAUAUUGUAACACCCCUCAUUUCCGAAUGUUCGUAUGAAUUUUUGGUGAUAAUGUAAGCAUCUAUUUUAAUUGACAAAAGAAAUAGAGUAUGAAUUAGAGGUAACCUAUUUGUAAGAUUUGGGAGAUCUGUUCAAAAAAAAAAAAGAAGAAAGAAUCUGAGGACCUAUAUGUAAACCCUAAGGAACUAAUCAUGAAUAUGAUAAAAACAAGGACUAAACUGCAAAAUGCACCAAAUGACAAAUUCCACCGCUUAAGCCUCUCUGCCUUCGUUGUUAAGGAAGCAGAGGAGGCAGCUCGUGGGUGAUCAGGGAAAGAAAAGAAGAAGAAGAAGAAGAAGAAGAAGAAGGAGAAGAGAAAGAAAAUUUNNNNN